RNAcentral lists this small RNA (80 nucleotides) under Flavobacterium sp. 11. RNAcentral's name for it is "Flavo-1 RNA". It matches the Rfam family "Flavo-1 RNA". The record is from RNAcentral. RNAcentral also lists the same sequence under 1 other name. Lineage: Bacteria; Pseudomonadati; Bacteroidota; Flavobacteriia; Flavobacteriales; Flavobacteriaceae.
AUUUAGCCCUGAUAGCAGUGAAAAUCCUUUUCCUUUUUUCUUUGAAAAGGAAAAGAUUGCAACGUAUAGCGGGAAAUAGC